AAUAUUACUUUACUAUUCUAUUUGACGAUAACUAUAUCAUAAUUAAGUGCAAUUUUUGAAUCAUAGCAAGUGGCAAAGGACUUGAUGGUUGGUACCCUAGACCCGAGUUCGAAUCCUAGUUGAUUCACAUUUCUUGCUAAGUUUAUUUCUAAAUGAAAUAAACAAAACGGGUAGCGUGCUACCUAUCUCUCAAAAAAAAAAUAUAUAUAUCAUAAUUAAGUGCAAUUUUUGAAUUAUAAAAUAUUAAAUAAAAAUAUCCUAAAUCAUA
RNAcentral lists this long non-coding RNA (268 nucleotides) under Ananas comosus (pineapple). Its description in RNAcentral is "long non-coding RNA (ACOM_LNC012955)". Lineage: Eukaryota; Viridiplantae; Streptophyta; Magnoliopsida; Poales; Bromeliaceae. The record is from RNAcentral.